RNAcentral lists this ribosomal RNA (252 nucleotides) under uncultured bacterium. RNAcentral's name for it is "partial 16S ribosomal RNA". It matches the Rfam family "Bacterial small subunit ribosomal RNA", at positions 524 to 776 of the family's 1533-position model. The record is from RNAcentral.
UACGUAGGUCCCGAGCGUUGUCCGGAUUUAUUGGGCGUAAAGCGAGCGCAGGUGGUUUAUUAAGUCUGGUGUAAAAGGCAGUGGCUCAACCAUUGUAUGCAUUGGAAACUGGUUGACUUGAGUGCAGAAGAGGGAAGUGGAAUUCCAUGUGUAGCGGUGAAAUGCGUAGAGAUAUGGAGGAACACCAGUGGCGAAGGCGGCUUCCUGGUCUGCAACUGACACUGAGGCGCGAAAGCGUGGGGAGCAAACAGG